Molecule: ribosomal RNA, 669 nt
Filed under: uncultured organism
Description: bacterial SSU rRNA
Rfam family: Bacterial small subunit ribosomal RNA
Source: RNAcentral
CAGGCUCUGAGUAUGGAUGCGGUAGGCGGAAUGUGUACGUGUAACGGUUGAAAGGCAUAGAUAUUACACAGCACACCGAUUUGCGUCAGGCAUGCUUACCAAACCAGCACGGACGCUGAAGCACGAAAGCGUGGGGAGCGAACAGGAUUAGAUACCCUGGUAGUCCACGCCGUAAACUUUUGCUCACUCACUGUUGACGAUAGACAGUCAGCGACCAAGGGAAACCGAUAAGUGAGCCACGCGGGGAGUACGACCGCAAGGGUGAAACUCCAAGGAAUUGACGGGGGCCCGCACAAACGGUGGAACACGUGGGAUAAUUCGAUGAUACGCGAGGAACCUUACCUGGGCUUAAAUGUGAAGUGCAUUGAUUGGAUACAAUCUAUUUCUUUCGGGACCCUUUACAAGAUGCUGCAUGGUUGUCGUCAGCUCGUGCCGCUGAGGUGUCGGGUUAAGUCCCAUAACGAGCGCAACCCCUAUUGUUAGUUACGCAAGCGCGUAAAGGCGGGGAUUUUAGUGAAACUGCCGUUGUAAUACGCACGUAGGAAGGUGGUGACGACAUCAAAUCAGCACGGCCUUUAUGUCACAGGGCUAUCACACGUGUUACAAUGGCCGGUAUAGCGGGCAGCUAGGCAGCGAUGUCAUGCUAAUCCAGUAAGCCGGUCCCAGUUC